AUUUUGCGUCACAGUUGUUAUGAAAGUUUAAAAAUACUAUGUUUUAUAAUUCUGCCUUCAGAUUUUUAUCAUAAUGCAUAUUUGAAUGAUUGUAUGGCGCGCAUGCAUACCCUGCUUAGCGCGCUUACUGUCUCUGAAGCGUAAACUUCUCUGAAACCUAGCUAUGGCUCUGUCAAUUUCCAGCCUCAUGUCCUUUUUCACUGAUGAUAAAAAGAGCAUAGAGAGGGGUGAGAAUCAUUAUAGGUCUGGGGAAGUAGAGCGUUGCAGCAUACAUGCUGGUCUACUUAGCGGAGUUGUCACAGUUAUCGUGAGAGACAAAGUCUAUCCGUGUUGACAGUGGCGGCUCGUCGGGGGAAGCAGGGGAGGCACAGCUUCCCCAAAAUUUUGAGGUGAAAAUGGGAGGAGGACAAUUUAAUGUUAAUUAAAUUCACAAUUUCAGUUUAUAUCUCAGAAUGUGUAUUUUUUGUGUGUAAUUUCACAGCUGUAGUACCAUAACGUUACUGAAGUUGUAAAGUGCCGCUUUUCUAUCGUGAAUGUGCCGAAUCUGCUGAUGUAAUUACAACCGCGAUAGAGAAGGGGUGGGGGAGAGUUAAGCUCUCGUGCUUCCGAUGGUAAAAAAAAAGAUUAGCAUAUCAGCACUGAGUGUUCACUUUUCGUCUCCCGCUGCGCUGAUAAUGUACAAAGUACUUAUGAGAAGUGAUAUUGAAUAUUUGAUCGCCAACAGAUUUACCAAGCUGUCAUUCAAACAGUAUGUAUACAAAUUAAAAAUGAAGGGUGAACACACCUAAACUGGAUGAUGUUACAGCAGUCGGCUCUUUUAACACACACUUUUAAGAAGGGAUGGAUGUUUGCUUCAAGUGAUAGGCCAGAGGGGUGUGGCAGAAGUGAGAAUGUGCCAUGUGAGCUUACUGUUUUCAACAUUUUUUUUUUUUAUAUUUAUAUUUAUGUGUAUAUUUACAUUUGUGUUUAUGUUAAUAUUGAUAUGAAAUGAAAGGGUUUUUUUUUUUUUCUUCUUCUUCUUUAUUUGAAGUCGGUGCCCUACACAAACAGCGUAUUCUGCGUAAAGGGAGCGGCAGUACUGGUUAGAGCCUACUCUGAAGUAGGGUCCCAAAAGGCAUUCCUAUAACUAAAAUUGUUCCCAGUUCCUGUGGAGUGAACAUGCCCAAAAGCAGGUACGUCUUCCAAUAGUUAUGGGAAAUAUGGCUACAAGCAACAAUUAAGGGGCUAAGAACAACAGAGGCAAAACAAGGAGCUAAGCAUAGCAAGGAGCUUCAGACCAGCUGCAACAAUGAGUAAUUAAAGCCAUUUUAAGAUGACUUGAUAAGAUGAUCAAAAUAGCUAAUAAAUAAAUAAAUAAAUAUAAUCACUCGUAAUAUGAUUUACUGGUUUAUAACUUUUGACCAAUAGGUGGUGCUGUUACCAAACUGAUAUGUUGUUGUCAGUGUGAAGUGGCACAUGCGAAGUUUGAUGUCAACGUCUCAAAGCUUUGGAGGAAUACAGCCUCAGAUGCAGUUUGGCAUCACACCAUCAAAAUCAUUGAUACGUUAAAUGAAAACCACUUUGUCUAUCAAUAUGAAAUCCAUACAUUUCUGACAGCAUGGUCUGAAGAUGAUCUGACUCAAAUUUGGUGAAAAUUGGACCAGUGGUCUAGGAGGAGUUUGAAAAAGUAUUUUUUAAAGAAAAUCGUACAGGACGUUUGGCCGAUUAUGGGAUAAAUUGUAUUGAUGUCCUCAGCAUGAUCUAAGGAAUCUAACGGCCUCGUGACAAUAGGCAAAACUAAUCAAAAAUAUAUGAUAUACUGUAUGUGACCAUGGACCACAAAACCAGUCUUAAGUGUCAAUUCAACGAUACAUUAUCUGAAAGCUGAAUAAAUAAGCUUUUGAUUGUUGUAUGAUUUGUUAGGAUCAAACAAUAUUUGGCCAAGAUACAACUAUUUGAAUAUCUGGAAUCUGAGGGCACAAAAAAAAAAAAAUCAAAAUACUAAGAAAAUCACCUUUAAAGUUGUCCAAAUGAAGUUCUUAGCAAUGUAUAUUACAAAUCAAAAAUAAAGUUUUUAUAUAUUUACGGAAGGAAGUUUUCAAAAUAUCUUCAUGGAACAUGAUCUUUACUUAAUAUCCUAAUGAUAUUUGGCAUAAAAGGGAAAUAGAUAAUUUUGACCCAUACAGUGGCUGUAUCCGAAAACUUAGGCAGGUGACUUGCUGCCUCGCUGCCGUAUCAGGCAAUGACUUUGCAGGCAGCUUUUUUGCACGAAGGCACCUCAUGAAACUGAUUUUGGACAGGCUUCUGAGGCAGAGUAACGGUUUAAUGAUCUACAGCAAAAUAUAGAGAGUUUGGCGAUAACUAAAUUGAUAUUUCAUUACUGCAAUAUUAAUUUCUCGCUAGUUUUUUAGAUAAUUCAAAAUUUGUGAAAAAUUCUGACCCAUAAAACUUUUGAUUCUGGUAUGCAUUCGACUGCAUGAGUCAAGGAACGAGAGGAAUAAAAGAAUUACAAUUUAAGGAGGAAAGAUAUUUGAGAGUUUUGAUGAGAGGGCGAAGACAAAUAACAGCUUACUGCAAGGUAUACACCCCGAGGCUUAUUUAGACCACUGCAUUUGAAAAUGGAACUUGUAAGAAGGGUUUUUAGUAGCUAUAAAUGCCACUGAGGGGCAACCAGGGGGCAAGAGUGUUUAAGUGUUUUAUAAAGUCUAGCCAAGGCCUACUUUCACACAUCCACAAUAAACAUCUCAUCUUACUAUUCCACUAGCCCUCACACUGAGGAAAAUUAGGCCAGUGUUUGAACUACCGAAACACUACAACACUUCUGCCAAAACCAGUGCAGACCGUAGUGGCAUUCUUCACCCAUCAGUGGCUGGUGUUAUUUAAUUCUAUUGCUUGUUAUCUUUCUUAUUCUUCAAGAAGAGUAAGAGGAAUGACAAUAGACUUCACACUAUAAACAAUUUUUCAAUUACUUCCAAGAAAACUUGUAAAGUCUCUUGUUUGCAUGCAGAAACCACAGAGGAGGGAGUCCCAGGAUGGUAGUCCUUCAAGAAUUUGCUGGAGUCAGACAAACAAAGGCUAAAGAAACACAAUCAAAACAGAAGGUUUAAAUCCAUGCCCAUCCCUCCAGUGUGAACUGUGAUUUUUGAGACCUAUUAGAUGCAUACCAAUGUUGAAAUGCUAUUUCAUUUUCAUCUCAUUUUUCAGUCUAGCAUGAAGAAAAAGCAAAAGAACCUAAUUCUUUCACCAUAACUCAAGGGUUGGCUUCAUUCUGAGACUAUUGUAUUAUUAAAAUAUCAUCCAAGUUUUGAGUUACAUUCACCUAUGGUGCAUUCAAGACAGAGGUCAUUGUCUGAUAAUCUGCAUUUUUUGUGGUGUUUUCUUCUACAUCUAAAUACUGCCAUUCCAAAAAUGAUAACAGCACAAGAUGAGCCAACAACCUGAAAUGCAAAGCUUUUGAGCAGAAACGCUCUAGUGGUCUAUUCUUCUUUGAGAAGGCGCAGACCCUCAUCUGGUGUUCAUAAAUUUUUGAUUUAUUAUUAAUCUUAAGAGAACCAUGUAGUAGUGGUUUAAUUUGAUACUUUUCUUCAUACUACCACAAAAAAACUAUAAAUAAAUAAAUAAUAAUAGCGUCAGUGUUUUUAUGGUAUGUACGCUGGAUAAUGUCAUCCGCUUCCACUCUUCUGGGAAGGCUUGCCACUAGAUGUUGGAACAUGGCUGUGUGAAUCUGCUCCCAUUCAGACUGGAGCACAGGGAGC
Cyprinus carpio carpio is the source of this 3734-nucleotide long non-coding RNA. The record is from Ensembl. NCBI's taxonomy places the organism in Eukaryota, Metazoa, Chordata, Actinopteri, Cypriniformes, Cyprinidae.